UAAACUACAGUAUGGCAAUAUCAUCAUACACAGGUAUCAUGUUCAUUGUUCUCAUGAGUUUAGAGCUCAUUCAAACUGAUACAAGGUGUUUCCCAUAAACUGAAUGUUUCAAAAACCAAGUAAUCAAUAGGAAAGAUGAAUUAAAUAAUCAAAUUAAUAUCAAAAUUAAACUUGUUUCAUUUUCCAGUUUAAGAAAAAAAAUACAUAUAUACCAGUAUAGCACCAAAAUACCAUGAAUCCCGGAAGGAUCAACAGACAAGACAAGGUGAGAUGCAGACUAACUGAAGGAAUGAGGAUCUUGUUCCCUCUCAUCAGACACCUGUUCACACUUGUUCGCAUUUUAACCACUUUGCUCCAGUUCGCCCAUUCCGAUGCGUGAGGGGUUUGUGCCGCGGGCUGACGGUUCCUGGUUGAGAACUUUCUGGCCCUUUGGUUGGAACGGCUGUAACGACGUUGGGAGUAAGAACAUGAGCAGGGGAUGGCAGGAUUUUUCGGGAAGUUGUGCGAGUCUCGGACGAGUAUUGAGCCUUCGCAGAGGAGAGGAAGGGCGUCUGAAGCCUUCGGGCGGUUUUGGAGCCUGUUUUUCCGUUCAAGAAGAACCCCUCCGAAUGUCCAUGACGGUGAGCUCAGUUGCCGUAUUGAGUGCGUUGUUGCAGGUAAGACUUUAACAAAUACUCUAAUUGAUUUUCAGAAACUGCUUGUGCUAUUCAUGGUCACGGUGCUCCAGAACUUAUCCUCUUAGCACAGGGUGAAAGGAAGGGUAUAUAGACCACGGGCAGAACGCCAGUCCAUCACAGGGAAGUCACACACAUGCUCAUUCUCUCAUAUCCAUUAAAUCAUAUGAUGGGCAUGGAUCAGAAACAACUGAAAAGUGGAUAUAAACUCAAGUCCCUUUGGGAUGAAACGCUGAGCACGAACCACGGUGAAAAACCUCGAGAUAAGGACAUGUCAUGUAGGUGAGUGAAACAAAGAGGGAUGUGCAUCCCCUCCAGCCUUGUGCCCUGUGUUGCCGGGUUAGGCUCCGGUUCGCCGCAACCCCACUUGGGACAAGCGCUUUCAGUGUGUGUAAUUUAUUUCGGUUCUAAUGUUCCCUUUACAAUCUUUAUGACGUGCUUUGACAGCAAGCUACUUUAUGGCCCCUGUUUCUGGUGGGGGUAGCACUUGUGCCUCAAUAUGCCUUGGAUGUGGAGUUUGCAUCCCUUUCCUCCUACACUCUAGACUUGUUUCAAGUAUAUGGGUAUAAAAAGGAAGCGCCGGCACAGGUAAGGAACUUUUGUGAGAGGGGUUGCGAUCGGGGUCGGUGUCGGGGUCGUGGACAUCUUGGGGCACUCUGUCAUCGGCGCCUCGGUCUCUCUCUCUCGCUCACUGGUGGGUCCGGGGAAAGAAAUGGAGGUAGUGAUCAGCUCCAGCUGCUGCUGGCCCGUCCCCGACAUGCUACAAUGGGUGACUCCCAAGUGCC
Molecule: long non-coding RNA, 1459 nt
Organism: Scleropages formosus (Asian bonytongue)
Lineage: Eukaryota; Metazoa; Chordata; Actinopteri; Osteoglossiformes; Osteoglossidae
Exons: 3
Source: RefSeq, a predicted model, not a curated record